UACGUAGGUGGCGAGCGUUAUCCGGAAUUAUUGGGCGUAAAGCGCGCGCAGGCGGUUUCUUAAGUCUGAUGUGAAAGCCCACGGCUCAACCGUGGAGGGUCAUUGGAAACUGGGAGACUUGAGUGCAGAAGAGAAGAGUGGAAUUCCACGUGUAGCGGUGAAAUGCGUAGAGAUGUGGAGGAACACCAGUGGCGAAGGCGACUCUUUGGUCUGUAACUGACGCUGAGGCGCGAAAGCGUGGGGAGCAAACAGG
Molecule: ribosomal RNA, 253 nt
Filed under: uncultured bacterium
Lineage: Bacteria
Description: partial 16S ribosomal RNA
Rfam family: Bacterial small subunit ribosomal RNA
Source: RNAcentral